RNAcentral lists this ribosomal RNA (301 nucleotides) under uncultured bacterium. RNAcentral's name for it is "partial 16S ribosomal RNA". It matches the Rfam family "Bacterial small subunit ribosomal RNA", at positions 509 to 809 of the family's 1533-position model. The record is from RNAcentral.
CAGUCGCCGCGGUAAAACGAGGGGGGCAAGCGUUGUUCGGAAUUAUUGGGCGUAAAGGGUGCGUAGGCGGUUUGAUAAGUCUGAUGUGAAAUCUCUGGGCUCAACCCAGAGUCUGCAUCGGAAACUGUCGGGCUUGAGGAUGGGAGAGGUGAGUGGAAUUUCCGGUGUAGCGGUGAAAUGCGUAGAUAUCGGAAGGAACACCUGUGGCGAAAGCGGCUCACUGGACCAUUUCUGACGCUGAUGCACGAAAGCUAGGGGAGCAAACAGGAUUAGAUACCCCUGUAGUCCCUGUCUCUUAUAA